This 370-nucleotide ribosomal RNA is filed under the name uncultured organism. RNAcentral describes it as "bacterial SSU rRNA". It matches the Rfam family "Bacterial small subunit ribosomal RNA", at positions 526 to 896 of the family's 1533-position model. The record is from RNAcentral.
CGUAGGGUGCAAGCGUUAAUCGGAAUUACUGGGCGUAAAGCGUGCGCAGGCGGUUUUGUAAGACUGUCGUGAAAUCCCCGGGCUCAACCUGGGAAUGGCGAUGGUGACUGCAAGGCUAGAGUUUGGCAGAGGGGGGUAGAAUUCCACGUGUAGCAGUGAAAUGCGUAGAUAUGUGGAGGAACACCGAUGGCGAAGGCAGCCCCCUGGGUCAAAACUGACGCUCAUGCACGAAAGCGUGGGGAGCAAACAGGAUUAGAUACCCUGGUAGUCCACGCCCUAAACGAUGUCUACUAGUUGUCGGGUUUUAAUUAACUUGGUAACGCAGCUAACGCGUGAAGUAGACCGCCUGGGGAGUACGGUCGCAAGAUUA